AACGUAGGAGGCGAGCGUUAUCCGGAUUUACUGGGCGUAAAGCGUACGCAGGUGGCUUCGUGAGUCGGACAUGAAAGCUCCCGGCUUAACUGGGAGAGGUUGUUCGAUACUGCGAGGCUUGAGGUUGGGAGAGGGACGUGGAAUUCCCGGUGUAGUGGUGGAAUGCGUAGAUAUCGGGAGGAACACCAGUGGCGCAAGCGGCGUCCUGGCCCACACCUGACGCUGAGGUACGAAAGCGUGGGUAGCAAACAGGAUUAGAUACCCUGGUAGUCCACGCUGUAAACGAUGUCAACUGGGUGUCGGUAGUUUUACACUAUCGGUGCCGAAGCCAACGCGUUAAGUUGACCGCCUGGGGACUACGGCCGCAAGGCUAAA
RNAcentral lists this ribosomal RNA (375 nucleotides) under uncultured bacterium. RNAcentral's name for it is "bacterial SSU rRNA". It matches the Rfam family "Bacterial small subunit ribosomal RNA", at positions 524 to 898 of the family's 1533-position model. The record is from RNAcentral.